This 468-nucleotide ribosomal RNA is filed under the name uncultured bacterium. RNAcentral describes it as "partial 16S ribosomal RNA". It matches the Rfam family "Bacterial small subunit ribosomal RNA", at positions 28 to 507 of the family's 1533-position model. The record is from RNAcentral.
GACGAACGCUGGCGGCGUGCUUAACACAUGCAAGUCGAACGGAAAGGCCCGGCUUUUGUGGGGGGCUCGAGUGGCGAACGUGUGAGUAACACGUGGGUAGCCUGCCCUUGACUGUGGGAUAACGUCAGUAAACUGUGGCUAAUACCGGAUAGGAGCUCCUGCGGCAUGGUGGGGGUUGGAAAGUUUCGGCGGUUGGGGUGGGGCUCGCGGCUUAUGAGCUUGUUGUUGGGGUAGUGGCUUACCACGGAGUUGACGGGUAGCAGGCCGGCGAGGGGGACCGGCAACAUUGCUACUGCGGAGAGACGCAGACUACUCCGGGAGGAAGCAGUGGUGAGUAUUGUACCAUAGGCGGAGGCAUGAUGACGCAACGCCGCGUGGGGGAUGACGGACUUCCGGUGGUAGUCCACUGUCGCUUGUGACGAAGCGUGAGUGACGGUAAUGGGUAAAGAAGCACCGGCUAACUCCGUG